This 170-nucleotide ribosomal RNA is filed under the name Russulaceae sp. Its description in RNAcentral is "partial large subunit ribosomal RNA". It matches the Rfam family "Eukaryotic large subunit ribosomal RNA", at positions 99 to 261 of the family's 3401-position model. Lineage: Eukaryota; Fungi; Basidiomycota; Agaricomycetes; Russulales; Russulaceae. The record is from RNAcentral.
CGGGAAAAGCUCAAAUUUAAAAUCUGGCGCUUGCGAGAGCGUCCGAGUUGUAAUCUAGAGAAGCGUCUUCCGCGCUGGACCGUGCACAAGUCUCCUGGAAUGGAGCGUCAUAGAGGGUGAGAAUCCCGUCUUUGGCACGGACUCCCGGUGCUUUGCGAUGCGCUCUCGAC